UACAGAGGGUGCAAGCGUUAAUCGGAGUUACUGGGCGUAAAGGGCGCGUAGGCGGUUUGUUAAGUGAGUUGUGAAAGCCCUGGGCUUAACCUGGGAAUGGCAACUUAAACUGGCGAGCUAGAGUACUGUAGAGGGUAGUGGAAUUUCCGGUGUAGCGGUGAAAUGCGUAGAGAUCGGAAGGAACACCAGUGGCGAAGGCGGCUACCUGGACAGAUACUGACGCUGAGGCGCGAGAGCGUGGGGAGCAACAGG
Molecule: ribosomal RNA, 252 nt
Filed under: uncultured bacterium
Lineage: Bacteria
Description: partial 16S ribosomal RNA
Rfam family: Bacterial small subunit ribosomal RNA
Source: RNAcentral